This is a long non-coding RNA of Malus domestica (apple), 659 nucleotides long. RefSeq lists it as uncharacterized. The record is from RefSeq and is a predicted model, not a curated record. Lineage: Eukaryota; Viridiplantae; Streptophyta; Magnoliopsida; Rosales; Rosaceae.
UUAAUGUAGAGAAUCAUAUGCAAGACAAAUCCCAAACCUUUUUUCCAUCGUCCAGAUCGUGUCAAAGGCUGGGCAUCCAGCUGCUUUGCCCCUCUCCAUCUGAUGUUGCCCCCUUGGCAGUUCUAUCACCACUGUGAAAGGGCUGGAGCUUUUUGGCGUCAAACUUAGUGAUGCUUCAAAGAAAUUGGGGAAAAAGUUUGCUACCGGAGCCUUUGUUGUUAAGUGUUCAGAGGGUUUCAUGCAUACAAGGAUGAGACGUCGUGUGGAAUCUUUGAUUGAGGCUCCUGAUCGUGCUAAACCCGGCAUGGAAGAUGGAAAGAACGCUGCUCAAAGUAGAUCCUUCAAACGGCUGAGCCUGAAGGAAGCCAGGACCAAUUCAAGCUAAAAUAGGCAUGGUAACCAGACAGCAAAGGGGACAUGCUCCUACCGGACCUCAAGAAAGAAUGUCGUCAAACGAAUUGCUCGAAGAUAUUAGAGAACCAUUGUUGAUGCAAGUACAAGUGGUAUUUGAUUUCUCUAGAAGUGUAAAAGAGAAGAAUAUAUACGUGCGCUUAUGUACUUUAUGAACAAAUCGUUGUUUUGUUAAAUUACAACAUUGGAUGGUCACAUAUAUUAUUAUGCGAUUGAUAAGUACAAACUAUAAUUUUUAUUUAAUUCCA